GACGAACGCUGGCGGCGUGCUUAACACAUGCAAGUCGAACGGAAAGGCCCUGCUUGCAGGGUACUCGAGUGGCGAACGGGUGAGUAACACGUGGGUGAUCUGCCCUGCACUUCGGGAUAAGCCUGGGAAACUGGGUCUAAUACCGGAUAGGAGCCAUUUUUAGUGUGAUGGUUGGAAAGUUUUUUCGGUGUAGGAUGAGCUCGCGGCCUAUCAGCUUGUUGGUGGGGUAAUGGCCUACCAAGGCGGCGACGGGUAGCCGGCCUGAGAGGGUGGACGGCCACAUUGGGACUGAGAUACGGCCCAGACGCCUACGGGAGGCAGCAGUGGGGAAUAUUGCACAAUGGGCGCAAGCCUGAUGCAGCGACGCCGCGUGGGGGAUGACGGCCUUCGGGUUGUAAACUCCUUUCGCUAGGGACGAAGCUUUUUGUGACGGUACCUAGAUAAGAAACACCGGCUAACUACGUG
Molecule: ribosomal RNA, 465 nt
Filed under: uncultured bacterium
Lineage: Bacteria
Description: partial 16S ribosomal RNA
Rfam family: Bacterial small subunit ribosomal RNA
Source: RNAcentral